UAAUUCCACGCAGCGGUCACAUGUGCUCAUUUCGCAUAGAUCACGCACGGGAGCGGUCAUGGACAGCAUGAGCGGGCGCAACAUGGUUGUUGGUUUUCCAUCUGAACCCCCUGACUGAAGAGAAACUUGCAAGUUUCGGUAAUGUCCGAAUUAUAAAGGCUCAUAUAUUGGUUUGGCCCUGAGGCCACACGUGCUGAAGAAUCCUUCUUUAAACAUUAGGCCUAUUUGCUAAAAAAUGGCAAAGGCAGGAAAUGUAAGAACAAAAGUCAUUAGAUCCCAUUGAUGGCUUCGUUUCUGGGGCACAUGUGUUCGGUGAUUGUGGUGGCAUGUUCCUCAAAUGGUGAUUGCGGCUUGAGUGGAGUUAAUUUUAUCGCCAUGUUUGGAGCACAUCUGAAAUGAGUGGUGGUGUUACUAUUGUAAACCAUGUGUUAAUGUAUUGCACAAGUGUUUUGAAAGUUAUGGCUAGUUACCAAUAAAGAAAGUAAAAGCUU
Long non-coding RNA from Ctenopharyngodon idella (grass carp), 491 nucleotides. RefSeq lists it as uncharacterized. The record is from RefSeq and is a predicted model, not a curated record. NCBI's taxonomy places the organism in Eukaryota, Metazoa, Chordata, Actinopteri, Cypriniformes, Xenocyprididae. The transcript is spliced from 5 exons.